This 564-nucleotide ribosomal RNA is filed under the name uncultured bacterium. RNAcentral describes it as "partial 16S ribosomal RNA". It matches the Rfam family "Bacterial small subunit ribosomal RNA", at positions 355 to 911 of the family's 1533-position model. The record is from RNAcentral.
UGGGGAAUAUUGCACAAUGGGGCGCAAGCCUGAUGCAGCCAUGCCGCGUGUGUGAAGAAGGCCUCGGGUUGUAAAGCACUUUCAGCGAGGAGGAAGGUGGGUGAACUUAAUACGUUCAUCAAUUGACGUUACUCGCAGAAGAAGCACCGGCUAACUCCGUGCCAGCAGCCGCGGUAAUACGGAGGGUGCAAGCGUUAAUCGGAAUUACUGGGCGUAAAGCGCACGCAGGCGGUUUGUUAAGUCAGAUGUGAAAUCCCCGGGCUCAACCUGGGAACUGCAUUUGAAACUGGCAAGCUAGAGUCUCGUAGAGGGGGGUAGAAUUCCAGGUGUAGCGGUGAAAUGCGUAGAGAUCUGGAGGAAUACCGGUGGCGAAGGCGGCCCCCUGGACGAAGACUGACGCUCAGGUGCGAAAAGCGUGGGGAGCAAACAGGUUAGAUACCCUGGUGUCAUGCUGUAAACGAUGUCGAUUUUGGAGGUUGUGCCCCUUGAGGCGUGGCUUCCGGAGCUAACGCGUUAAUCGACCGCCUGGGGAGUACGGCCGCAAGGUUAAAACUCAAAUGAAUU